AUACGUAGGAUCCGAGCGUUGUCCGGAUUUACUGGGCGUAAAGGGUGCGUAGGCGGCGUGGUAAGUCUCAUGUGAAAUCUCCCGGCUCAACUGGGAGGGGUCAUGGGAUACUGCCAUGCUCGAGGGCAGCAGAGGAGAGCGGAAUUCCGGGAGUAGCGGUGAUAUGCGUAGAUACCCGGAGGAACACCCGUGGCGAAAGCGGCUCUCUGGGCUGUACCUGACGCUAAGGCACGAAAGCGUGGGGAGCAAACCGGAUUAGAAACCCCUGUAGUCC
This 274-nucleotide ribosomal RNA is filed under the name uncultured bacterium. RNAcentral describes it as "partial 16S ribosomal RNA". It matches the Rfam family "Bacterial small subunit ribosomal RNA", at positions 523 to 796 of the family's 1533-position model. The record is from RNAcentral.